UAUAUUUUUAUAAAUCAAAAAAGUUUGGUUUUGGCUUAUGGAAAUUUCUUUCUGAUAAUUGAACAUGCUAAUUUUUACGUGAUUUUUGAAUUUCUAAAAGAAAUGUUUCGAUUUAUUUGCAGUUCUAAGUUUUAAAAAUUUAGGGAAUUAAGAUUUAGUUAAUUAGAGAAGUUUCGACUAAAAUUGUGCCAGCAGUCGCGGUUAUACAAUUGUAAACGGGAAAUUUUUUUUGGCGGAAUCAUUUAAUUUUAAUUUUUUAGAAAAUAAGUUUUUUUUAAGUGAAAUUAUGGGAAUUUGAAAUUAUUUGGUUUAUGAAUUAAGAAAAUGAGAAAGUUUAUAAUAGAAGAAGGAUUAGAUACCCUUUUACUAUGAAUUGUUAAGAUUUGCCUUAGUAUUAAUAGAUGAAGUCUUUAAAUUAAAAGAAUUUGGCGGUAAUUUAGUCUUUCUAGAGGAACCUGUCCUGUAAUUGAUGAUCCACGAUGAAUUUUACUUUACUUGAACUUGUAUAUCUCUGUCAUUGAAUGUUUUAUGAGGAUAUUUUCAUUAAUUUUUAUGAAUAAUAUGUCAGGUCAAGGUGCAGUUGUAGUAAAGAAGAGAUGGGUUACAUUGUAAUUAUAUUUGAAUGGAUUUAUGGAAAUGUUCUUAAAAUUGGAUUUAGGAGUAAUUUUAAUUAAAUUAUUAUUUUGAUUUAGCUCUAAAUUAUGCACACAUCGCCCGUCGCUCUCAUUAAUAAGGUGAGAUAAGUCGUAACAAAGUAGGCCCACCGGAAGGUAGGCCUGGAAAUAA
RNAcentral lists this non-coding RNA (786 nucleotides) under Acanthaspis ruficeps. Lineage: Eukaryota; Metazoa; Arthropoda; Insecta; Hemiptera; Reduviidae. The record is from RNAcentral.